This 468-nucleotide ribosomal RNA is filed under the name uncultured bacterium. RNAcentral describes it as "partial 16S ribosomal RNA". It matches the Rfam family "Bacterial small subunit ribosomal RNA", at positions 28 to 507 of the family's 1533-position model. The record is from RNAcentral.
GACGAACGCUGGCGGCGUGCCUAACACAUGCAAGUCGAACGGAAAGGCCCUGCUUUUGUGGGGUGCUCGAGUGGCGAACGGGUGAGUAACACGUGAGUAACCUGCCCUUGACUUUGGGAUAACUUCAGGAAACUGGGGCUAAUACCGGAUAGGAUAUCCUGCUGCAGGGUGGGCGUUGGAUCGUUUCGGCGGUUGGGGAUGGACUGGCGGCUUAUCAGCUUGCUGGUGGGGUAGUGGCUGACCAAGGCUUGGACGGGUAGCCGGCCUGGGAGGGGGGCCGGGCACAUGAGGACUGAGCUACGGCGCAGACGCGAACGGGAGGCAAGGGUGGGGAGUAUGACACAGUGGGCGGGAGCCUGUGGCGACAGCGCCGCGGGCGGAAAGACGGCCUGCGGGUAGAGAACCGCUGUCGCCUGAGACGAGGCGGUAGUGACGGUAAUGGGUGAAUAAGCACCGGCUAACUCCGUG